GUGGGGUAACGGCCUACCAAGGCGAUGAUGGGUAGCUGGUCUGAGAGGACGAUCAGCCACACUGGAACUGAGACACGGUCCAGACUCCUACGGGAGGCAGCAGUGGGGAAUAUUGCGCAAUGGGCGAAAGCCUGACGCAGCAACGCCGCGUGGGGGAUGAAGGUUCUCGGAUUGUAAACCCCUUUCGAUCGGAACGAAUCCCCUCCUGGUGAACAAUCAGGAGGGUCGACGGUACCGAGAGAAGAAGCCACGGCUAACUCUGUGCCAGCAGCCGCGGUAAGACAGAGGUGGCUAGCGUUGUUCGGAUUUAUUGGGCGUAAAGCGCACGCAGGCGGUUUGGUAAGUCAGAGGUGAAAUUCCGCAGCUUAACUGCGGAACUGCCUUUGAUACUGCCUUUCUCGAGUGCAUGAGGGGGAAGCGGAAUUCCGAGUGUAGAGGUGAAAUCCGUAGAUAUUCGGAGGAACACCGGUGGCGAAGGCGGCUUCCUGGCAUGUAACUGACGCUCAGGUGCGAAAGCGUGGGGAGCAAACAGGAUUAGAUACCCUGGUAGUCCACGCCCUAAACGAUGGGCACUAGGUGUGGGAGGUAUCGACCCCUUCCGUGCCGC
RNAcentral lists this ribosomal RNA (607 nucleotides) under uncultured delta proteobacterium. RNAcentral's name for it is "bacterial SSU rRNA". It matches the Rfam family "Bacterial small subunit ribosomal RNA", at positions 252 to 849 of the family's 1533-position model. The record is from RNAcentral. Lineage: Bacteria; Deltaproteobacteria.